UACGGGAGGCAAGCAGUGGGGAAUAUUGCACAAUGGGCGCAAGCCUGAUGCAGCCAUGCCGCGUGUAUGAAGAAGGCCUUCGGGUUGUAAAGUACUUUCAGUCGUGAGGAAGGUGUUAAGGUUAAUAACCUUAGCAAUUGACGUUAGCGACAGAAGAAGCACCGGCUAACUCCGUGCCAGCAGCCGCGGUAAUACGGAGGGUGCGAGCGUUAAUCGGAAUUACUGGGCGUAAAGGGCACGCAGGCGGUUAAUUAAGUUGGAUGUGAAAUCCCCGGGCUUAACCUGGGAAUGGCAUUCAAGACUGGUUAGCUAGAGUCUUGUAGAGGGGGUAGAAUUCCAUGUGUAGCGGUGAAAUGCGUAGAGAUGUGGAGGAAUACCGGUGGCGAAGGCGGCCCCUGGACAAAGGCUGACGCUCAUGUGCGAAAGCGUGGGGAGCGAAAC
This 441-nucleotide ribosomal RNA is filed under the name uncultured bacterium. RNAcentral describes it as "bacterial SSU rRNA". It matches the Rfam family "Bacterial small subunit ribosomal RNA", at positions 340 to 774 of the family's 1533-position model. The record is from RNAcentral.